CCGACGCCGGGUGGCGGAGCUGAUGCGCCUGCUGGGUGCGGAAUCCCGGUUCCAGGCCGGGGUGCUGGC
RNAcentral lists this transfer RNA (69 nucleotides) under Actinocatenispora thailandica. RNAcentral's name for it is "tRNA-Ser". Lineage: Bacteria; Bacillati; Actinomycetota; Actinomycetes; Micromonosporales; Micromonosporaceae. The record is from RNAcentral.